This 496-nucleotide ribosomal RNA is filed under the name uncultured bacterium. RNAcentral describes it as "partial 16S ribosomal RNA". It matches the Rfam family "Bacterial small subunit ribosomal RNA", at positions 29 to 507 of the family's 1533-position model. The record is from RNAcentral.
AUGAACGCUGGCGGCGUGCCUAAUACAUGCAAGUCGAGCGAACGGACGAGAAGCUUGCUUCUCUGAUGUUAGCGGCGGACGGGUGAGUAACACGUGGAUAACCUACCUAUAAGACUAGGAUAACUUCGGGAAACCGGAGCUAAUACCGGAUGAUAUUUUGAACCGCAUGGUUCAAAAGUGAAAGACGGUCUUGCUGUCACUUAUAGAUGGAUCCGCGCUGCAUUAGCUAGUUGGUAAGGUAACGGCUUACCAAGGCAACGAUGCAUAGCCGACCUGAGAGGGUGAUCGGCCACACUGGAACUGAGACACGGUCCAGACUCCUACGGGAGGCAGCAGUAGGGAAUCUUCCGCAAUGGGCGAAAGCCUGACGGAGCAACGCCGCGUGAGUGAUGAAGGUCUUCGGAUCGUAAAACUCUGUUAUUAGGGAAGAACAUAUGUGUAAGUAACUGUGCACAUCUUGACGGUACCUAAUCAGAAAGCCACGGCUAACUACGUG